UACGGAGGGUGCAAGCGUUAAUCGGAAUUACUGGGCGUAAAGCGCACGCAGGCGGCUUUGUAAGUCAGAUGUGAAAUCCCCGGGCUCAACCUCGGAACUGCAUUUGAUACUGCAAAGCUUGAGUCUCGGAGAGGUGAGUGGAAUUCCAGGUGUAGCGGUGAAAUGCGUAGAUAUCCGGAAGAACACCGGUGGCGAAGGCGGCUCACUGGACGAGGACUGACGCUGAGGUGCGAAAGCGUGGGGAGCAAACAGG
RNAcentral lists this ribosomal RNA (253 nucleotides) under uncultured bacterium. RNAcentral's name for it is "partial 16S ribosomal RNA". It matches the Rfam family "Bacterial small subunit ribosomal RNA", at positions 524 to 776 of the family's 1533-position model. The record is from RNAcentral.